This 253-nucleotide ribosomal RNA is filed under the name uncultured bacterium. Its description in RNAcentral is "partial 16S ribosomal RNA". It matches the Rfam family "Bacterial small subunit ribosomal RNA", at positions 524 to 776 of the family's 1533-position model. The record is from RNAcentral.
UACGGAGGAUGCAAGCGUUAUCCGGAUUCAUUGGGUUUAAAGGGUGCGUAGGCGGGAAAAUAAGUCAGUGGUGAAAGCCUACAGCUUAACUGUAGAAUUGCCAUUGAUACUGUUAUUCUUGAGUACAGUUGAAGUGGGUGGAAUGUGUGGUGUAGCGGUGAAAUGCUUAGAUAUCACACAGAACGCCAAUUGCGAAGGCAGCUCACUAAGCUGUUACUGACGCUGAGGCACGAAAGCGUGGGGAUCAAACAGG